Saccostrea echinata is the source of this 230-nucleotide long non-coding RNA. RefSeq lists it as uncharacterized. NCBI's taxonomy places the organism in Eukaryota, Metazoa, Mollusca, Bivalvia, Ostreida, Ostreidae. The transcript has 4 exons. The record is from RefSeq and is a predicted model, not a curated record.
AGAAAAGUAUCCUCCGAAAAGGAUCCAAAUUGAUACUGCUGAAGAAAUGAACUACUGGAAAAACGAUAACCAAGACUACUGGACAGAAAAUCUAACGAGGUAUGGAAGACGUGAAUAUCCAGACUUUCCCCAGGCCUCUGGGUCCCAGAUGGACCGGAUUUCUCCAUCGAACAUACCUGUAGACUUUGGAUCACGUGGACGGAUUUAUCCAAUCACGAGACCUCCCCUGC